This 302-nucleotide ribosomal RNA is filed under the name uncultured bacterium. RNAcentral describes it as "partial 16S ribosomal RNA". It matches the Rfam family "Bacterial small subunit ribosomal RNA", at positions 508 to 809 of the family's 1533-position model. The record is from RNAcentral.
GCAGUCGCCGCGGUAAUACAGAGGGUGCGAGCGUUAAUCGGAUUUACUGGGCGUAAAGCGUGCGUAGGCGGCUUCUUAAGUCGGAUGUGAAAUCCCUGAGCUUAACUUAGGAAUUGCAUUCGAUACUGGGAAGCUAGAGUAUGGGAGAGGAUGGUAGAAUUCCAGGUGUAGCGGUGAAAUGCGUAGAGAUCUGGAGGAAUACCGAUGGCGAAGGCAGCCAUCUGGCCUAAUACUGACGCUGAGGUACGAAAGCAUGGGGAGCAAACAGGAUUAGAUACCCCAGUAGUCCCUGUCUCUUAUAA